CCUACGGGAGGCAGCAGUGGGGAAUAUUGCACAAUGGGGGAAACCCUGAUGCAGCGACGCCGCGUGAGUGAAGAAGUAUCUCGGUACGUAAAGCUCUAUCAGCCGGGAAGAAAAUGACGGUACCUGACUAAGACGCCCCGGCUAACUACGUGCCAGCAGCCGCGGUAAUACGUAGGGGGCAAGCGUUAUCCGGAUUUACUGGGUGUAAAGGGAGCGUAGGCGGCAGCACAAGUCUGGAGUGAAAUCCCGGGGCUUAACCCCGGAACGGCUGUGGAAACGGGGCGGCGGGAGUGCAGGAGGGGUAAGCGGAAUUCCUAGUGUAGCGGUGAAAUGCGUAGAUAUUGGGAGGAACACCGGUGGCGAAGGCGGCUUACUGGACUGUAACUGACGUUGAGGCUCGAAAGCGUGGGGAGCAAACAGGAUUAGAUACCCUUGUAGUC
This 440-nucleotide ribosomal RNA is filed under the name uncultured bacterium. Its description in RNAcentral is "partial 16S ribosomal RNA". It matches the Rfam family "Bacterial small subunit ribosomal RNA", at positions 338 to 795 of the family's 1533-position model. The record is from RNAcentral.